RNAcentral lists this transfer RNA (73 nucleotides) under Ovis aries (sheep). It matches the Rfam family "tRNA". From Rfam's summary of the family: Transfer RNA (tRNA) molecules are approximately 80 nucleotides in length. Their secondary structure includes four short double-helical elements and three loops (D, anti-codon, and T loops). Lineage: Eukaryota; Metazoa; Chordata; Mammalia; Artiodactyla; Bovidae. The record is from Rfam by way of RNAcentral.
GCCUGGAUAGCUCAGUAGGUAGAGUAUCAGACUUUCAAUCUGAGGGUCCAGGGUUCAAGUGUCUGUUCAGGUG